CAAAACCAAAAACUCCUUUCAAGACCAGGCCACAAGAAAUCCAGGCUCAGAAAUAAAGGUUUUAUCAGCACAGCAGCUAUGAGUGCUGCUGGCAGUCAGCUCUCAGUUGUCAGCCCUCAUUAGACAUUACUCCCUUGACGUUGUGUGAUUGCUUCAGUUCCAGAUCAUCUCCAAAGGUCAUAACCUCAUCGUUGAUUGGUUCACAUCCAGUGACUGCUCAACACAGCUUGACUUCUUCCUGUGACUCAAUUCCCUUCUUUCCUCAUCCAAGGCUGUUGACCCCAAGAGAAUUUGUUAAUAAAUCUCCUGCUUUCUACUUUCUGCCCCAGAGUCUACUUCUGAAGGAAACCAACCCA
This is a long non-coding RNA of Neogale vison (American mink), 356 nucleotides long. RefSeq lists it as uncharacterized. NCBI's taxonomy places the organism in Eukaryota, Metazoa, Chordata, Mammalia, Carnivora, Mustelidae. The record is from RefSeq and is a predicted model, not a curated record. The transcript has 3 exons.